RNAcentral lists this ribosomal RNA (301 nucleotides) under uncultured bacterium. RNAcentral describes it as "partial 16S ribosomal RNA". It matches the Rfam family "Bacterial small subunit ribosomal RNA", at positions 509 to 807 of the family's 1533-position model. The record is from RNAcentral.
CAGCAGCCGCGGUAAAACGUAGGUGGCAAGCGUUGUCCGGAAUUAUUGGGCGUAAAGGGCUCGCGGGCGGUUUCUUAAGUCUGAUGUGAAAGCCCCCGGCUCAACCGGGGAGGGUCAUUGGAAACUGGGAAACUUGAGUGCAGAAGAGGAGAGUGGAAUUCCACGUGUAGCGGUGAAAUGCGUAGAGAUGUGGAGGAACACCAGUGGCGAAGGCGACUCUCUGGUCUGUAACUGACGCUGAGGAGCGAAAGCGUGGGGAGCGAACAGGAUUAGAUACCCCAGUAGUCCCUGUCUCUUAUAC